RNAcentral lists this ribosomal RNA (253 nucleotides) under uncultured bacterium. RNAcentral describes it as "partial 16S ribosomal RNA". It matches the Rfam family "Bacterial small subunit ribosomal RNA", at positions 524 to 776 of the family's 1533-position model. The record is from RNAcentral.
UACAGAGGUCCCAAGCGUUGUUCGGCUUCACUGGGCGUAAAGGGUGCGUCGGCGGUUGGGUAAGUUCGAUGUGAAAUCUCCGAGCCCAACUCGGAAAUGGCAUCGGAUACUAUCCGGCUCGAGGAUUGGAGGGGGGACUGGAAUUCUCGGUGUAGCAGUGAAAUGCGUAGAUAUCGAGAGGAACACCAGUGGCGAAGGCGAGUCCCUGGACAAUUCCUGACGCUGAGGCACGAAAGCUAGGGGAGCAAACAGG